Molecule: ribosomal RNA, 230 nt
Filed under: uncultured bacterium
Lineage: Bacteria
Description: partial 16S ribosomal RNA
Rfam family: Bacterial small subunit ribosomal RNA
Source: RNAcentral
UAAAGCGUGCGCAGGCGGUUUUGUAAGUCUGAUGUGAAAUCCCCGGGCUCAACCUGGGAAUUGCAUUGGAGACUGCAAGGCUAGAAUCUGGCAGAGGGGGGUAGAAUUCCACGUGUAGCAGUGAAAUGCGUAGAUAUGUGGAGGAACACCGAUGGCGAAGGCAGCCCCCUGGGUCAAGAUUGACGCUCAUGCACGAAAGCGUGGGGAGCAAACAGGAUUAGAUACCCGGU